GACGAACCGAGCGAACGUUGUUCGGAAUUACUGGGCGUAAAGGGCGCGUAGGCGGCCUUCUAAGUCGAACGUGAAAUCCCCGGGCUCAACCCGGGAACUGCGUCCGAUACUGGGAGGCUUGAAUCCGGGAGAGGGAUGUGGAAUUCCAGGUGUAGCGGUGAAAUGCGUAGAUAUCAGGAGGAACACCGGUGGCGAAGGUGGGUCUCUGGGCCGAUACUGACGCUGAGGCGCGAAAGCGUGGGGAGCAAACAGG
RNAcentral lists this ribosomal RNA (253 nucleotides) under uncultured bacterium. RNAcentral describes it as "partial 16S ribosomal RNA". It matches the Rfam family "Bacterial small subunit ribosomal RNA", at positions 524 to 776 of the family's 1533-position model. The record is from RNAcentral.